Megalops cyprinoides (Indo-Pacific tarpon) is the source of this 1448-nucleotide long non-coding RNA. RefSeq lists it as uncharacterized. Lineage: Eukaryota; Metazoa; Chordata; Actinopteri; Elopiformes; Megalopidae. The transcript is spliced from 5 exons. The record is from RefSeq and is a predicted model, not a curated record.
UUUCCUGCCAUUCUGUCAUUGUUGUGUCACAGAAGACAAACUGAAAUGGUAACUAAGCUCGGCGUGCUACUCCUGCUUGUUACUCUGAGGCUGAUCAGCGGCUUCCAGGUGAUACAGCCUCAGACGCAGCAGAUGAAUCGCGAUCGAUCUGUCACGAUCGCCUGUGAGCUGAAAGGCUGGGACUCGACAUGGGGCAUGGAUGCCAAGCUGAGAGCAAACGCCAGCAAAGCGGUGGUCUGCAGGCUUCUCAGCAACCUGACGUCUUACAACUGCAGCUGGAGGAGGGACAGGAGCGAUCGCAUCCUCUUCACCCUCUUCGACCUGAAACCGGAUGAUCAGGAGCUGUACAAAUGCGAGGUCUCCAGGAUGAUACCCCCUCCUGUCAAAAUAGAAGAGGGAGAUGGCACCCAGCUGUUCUCAGGUCAGUUUGCUCUCCUUUCACUCAUUAAUUAUCCCAUCAGAGGCCCAUCAUUUUUCAUUACGAGGGACAGCAGCUGUGUGAUAUAUCUUCACCUUUGUAACCGUAGAGCAAUGACUUUUGAAGAGCAAUUAUGAAGGCAGCAAGGAAGAGAAGUCAAUGGUUUGUGGAAGAAUGUGGCCUCUGCUUGAACAUGCUCAGAUAUGCUGAUGGUGUGUGUCUCUUAGGACCAGAAACAUAAAAACCACUCCUGACCGUAUGUGUUUGCGUCUCUCAGAACCCGAACAAUCCUUGGCCCCUUUCACUCCUACCACCCCAUUGAAAAGUGAUUGUCCAGAUUCCAGCCUGUUAAACUGGAUACUGAUUGGACUAUUGGCUUUUCUCUUUCUCACCUGCCUCACCAUCACCUGUGCCUAUGUAAGACUUAAGAUACAGCAGGGAAACGAGACGGAUGACUCACUGACCUAUGUGCCAAUGCAGCCUCCUCAAGCCCAGAAUGGCAGCAGGGUAUGUCUGAAGAGGGGUGACCCAGAGAGCAACACAACCUACAUGGACAUGAGGAAAAUGGCUGCAAAUGGCAGGGCCUCGGGAAGAGACAUGAACUACAAUUCCCAUCAGGCUCUUCACUGAUUCCACCAGACUUGAACUACAACUCCCAUUAGAUUCAGGGCUGUUUCUCACCGGAACAAUGGAAAAUUAAACACUUGGUGACAGAAUACUUUUUCUUUUUGGAGGCAUCACUUUGUCGAGUUGUCAUCACACGGCACUAUACGGCAUACGGGUAACUGGUUCUUUUUUUUGGGAAAUGAACAGCACUUUUAUGAUGACGUUUGCAUUUUUGAUUUAACACUGGGAUUCAAAGAUGCAUGGCAAGAGAGAUAUGAUAAUCAGCUAAAACCAGACUGACAGUUUUGUCAAUGUUUGUACAUUGUACACGCUGAGAAGGAGACAAGUGACGAUACUAUUGGAUUCAAUAUGUAAAAUAUAUGCUGAUGUGAUCAUUUGCUGGGAUAUGUAAAAGUGCAACAAC